GUUGUUGUGGCUGAGUCGUUAAGGUGAUGGACUAGAAAUCCAAUGGGGUUUCCCCUUGCAGGUUCAAAGCCUGCCAACAACG
Non-coding RNA from Paralichthys olivaceus (Japanese flounder), 82 nucleotides. The record is from the annotation of a RefSeq genome assembly. NCBI's taxonomy places the organism in Eukaryota, Metazoa, Chordata, Actinopteri, Pleuronectiformes, Paralichthyidae.